RNAcentral lists this ribosomal RNA (664 nucleotides) under Patescibacteria group bacterium. RNAcentral describes it as "partial 23S ribosomal RNA". It matches the Rfam family "Bacterial large subunit ribosomal RNA", at positions 1921 to 2565 of the family's 2925-position model. The record is from RNAcentral.
GGGUGAACGGCGGCGGUAACUAUAACCGUCCUAUGGUAGCGAAAUCCCUCGUCUGGUGAGUUCAGACCCGCACGAAAGGUUUAACCACUUGACAACUGUCUCGAACCUUCACUCGGUGAAAUUGAAAUGGCUGUGAAGAUGCGGCCUACAUACUCUUGGACAAAAAGACCCCGUGGAGCUUUACUGUUAUUUGAUACUGAAAUGAAACGAUGAAUUGUUUAGUGUAGGAGGGAGCCGCAAGGCGUCAAUGAAACACCUCUCUUUCGUUGUUUUCAGAUCUAACCCAUUCCGGCUGGAGACGCCGGAGGGGACAGUGUUAGAAAGACAGUUUGACUGGGGCAGUCACUUGCUAAAAGGUAACACAAGUUCACAAAGGUACCCUAAACCCGGAUGGAAAUCGGGUGUUUUGUGUAAAGGCACAAGGGUGCUUGACUGCGAGACUGACAGGUCGAGCUCCCGAUGUAAAAAUCGGGACGCCGAUGCCGAAAGGCCUCGGUGAGGUGCGAAAGCAGGUCUUAGUGAUCCUCCGCCGUUCAGUGGUUGAAGGCGGAGCUUAAAGGAUAAAAGCUACCCCGGGGAUAACAGGCUAGUCGCGCCCGAGCGUCCACAGCGCCGGCGCGGUUCGGCACCUUAACAUACAUCGGGGUGUGGUAGGAGUAAUCCU